AGACCUGAUUAUCUCUCUAAACCACAGGUAAUCUGAGUUCAAAGAGUUAACAUAGCCUGAAGCCCCUCAUUGGCCCCAGACCCUGAAAAGUUGCUAGGUGACUUUGCAGAAGAGAAACAAAUAGAAACCCUUUUCCAAUUGAGAAGAAAAUUAACGGGAAAAGAUGUUUAGAGGCAACACAUCUGCAGAGUGUUUUUUUUUUUCUUUUUUGUAUUUUUAACAGUAUUAACACUUAUAAGUAGUAAAAGUAAUUAUGGUGGUCGGAUUUUGACACUUGGAGAGAAAAACUUACAAGAAAUGUCUGGUAACAAGCAUCAAGUAACUCUAAGUCUAGGCUGAGGAAUGGGGAAUAUUGAAGAGCUUGGAAACAAUUAGAAUUUAAAGUCCUAGUUUCAGAACUCCAAAGACUCUUUUUUUUUUUUUUUAAUUUCAAUUUGUAAUAUUCCUUUAAGAGCCAUUUGGUGCAAUUCAUAGCCUGAUUCACGCCACUGGCGGCCUCUGAUUUCAGUAAGAAAUGCAGAAAUUUAUAGUGGAAUGUAAAACGGGGACAGGUUUUUAGUUUUCUAAAUUGAGGUUUUAAACAAGCAAACUUCUGAAGGUUUAAGAAGCCACAUAGCUGAGCUACGGGAAUCUGGUUUCUUUUCCGGUCAGAACAAAUAAACACACAAACACAUAUCUAACUCACAAAGUGUUGGAAGAGAUAAAGCAAUGCUCUUUACAAAGGAGGAAAACAAAAACUCAGCCUUGUGGGCAACAGAAGAAAAGUCACAUUGGCCAGCAGACAGCACCCUACGCUGGCAGAGGGAGAAAUCUGAGUUCCAGCGGCGUCAGGGGCAUUUGCACACAGCCUCCCGUUUCAAGUUGCAUGUCUCCGGAGUCCCAGGGAAGGCCCCAGCCUGUCUCCCUUCUCAGAGCCUCAGGGAGUGAUGAAAAGCCCCUGAACCAGCCACAGGACUCGCAGAGACACUGGGGCUCAGAAAGAUUGACUUGGUCAAAGUCUCACCGCCUGUAGGGGGUGCAGAGCCGAAGAGGUCAUGACAGUGCAGAGAGCACAGUUUGACUGUGACAUGACAGGCGUCGGCUGGGGGAACCCCUGCUAGCAGCAGUAUCACCUGAGAACUUGCUGGAGACCCACAUUCUCUGAAGUCUGGCACCAGGCCUACUGAACGGGAACUCCAGGGGCAGGCCCCAGCAAUCUGCGUUUUAAGAAGCUCCCCAGAUUCAUCCUCCUCACUCAGAAGAAAGUUCUCAGAUCUCUUCUGAAGAGACAGAAAAGACAGGAUAUAAAAAUAAAAAUGGAAAGGGUUUUCUCAGCAGGAAGGAUGGGCAUCUGCUUUUCCUGGACCCACUGUUUCUUCUCCAGGGACCGCCCAGGCCUUCCAACAAAAACCUCUGGGUCUAAGCUUCUGCAGGUGCCAUCCAAAGAUACCUGCGCCGGCAGCAGGGGAGCAUUGGCAGUGUUCCAAGAACUUAAAACCUCGUGAAACCUUGCGCUUGGGAGGAAUCUUGGAAAUCAGCCACCCAAUUCUUCAUUUGAUGCUUGAGUCUCUAUCAACCUCUGCUGGGAACUCACCCCUAUUCAAAAGCUUUGAUAACUUGGAGUGCUAGAAAGUCCUUUCACUGGACUUGAGAGCAGGACUAUGAUUUCUUGUUUGCUGUGAUAUUCCUACUCCCCCCCACCCGCCCCCCACAACAGUGCUCAAUAAAUACUAGUUGAAUGGAUGGAUGAAUGAAUGAGCUAGUGAGCAGAUCUUCUGCCCAGUUUGUGUGGUUGCUGUGAAGGAGGGCGUCAGGGUCUGCCUGGGAUGCUGUCAGCGUGACUCAGCACAGCCUGUGCCUUGCUGAGGGCAGAUGCCCUUGGAACUUGAGGUGGAUAGGAGAGUUCCCAGCUAAGAGGUCCCUGGGGUGGGGAGACGAGUCUUUCCAGUGUUCCGAGUGCCAGGGCCGGGUAGCAGUCUUACUGCAUGGCCAUGACUUAUUACAUUCCCGGGUAAAUCGAAAUACAAUCCAUAUGUUCUGGGGUUAUUUACACGAUUCUCAUCAAGAUGCCGCCGUUGCGUAAGAGCCAUUUGACAUCGAUGGCACGGCUUUCUUUCUUCCAUUCUGAGAAGAGUCCCUGAAGAAAAGCCAAUUCCACUGUCCCCGGAAAGGGAGGGGCAGGAGCACAGGGAACAGUCAUCUGGGGCAGCCCUGCUGGCAACGCAGUGCCUGGGGAGACUGUUUUCAGUGAGUCUCAUAGGGGAGGCUGAGGAAAGAGGGAGACUCCUGCCAAGCUGCAUGCCCCCGAGGGCUCUGCCAGCUGCUGCCAGCACGACUUCAGUGGAGGGCGGGGUGGAAAUGGCUUAAGGAGUUGCCAAAGAACAGGGAGGAAGAGCUGGUGCAUCGGGAAGAUGGGGGCUUCCAGGAAGGACACCUGGGUUGCAUUCUGGUGUAACUUUGGGUAAAUUACUUCCUUCCCACCGCCCCUGGGCCUCAGUUUCCCCUUCUGUGAAGUGUGAGGCUGCACUUAUGCUGCACCAUCCUUAUGCAUCCUGAUAGACUAUUCUAGGGUCCCUUUUUUAUAUCUUAUUGUGAAUAUUAUCUGGCAAUGCCUAGAUAAAUAUUUUUCAAGAAAAUAUCUUUACCACAAUCCUUAGUAAGAAAUACAUUUUACACAGGAAUCUAGUGUGUGUGUGUGUGUGUGUGUGUGUAUGUAUGUAUGUAUGUAUAUAUAUAAAUAUAUAAAACUGAAACAAAGUUUUCACAAAUCAAUGCUUACCCUUCCUACAAGGAUAGACAUGUAGAUUAAUGGACCAGCAGAAAGAGUCCAGAAAUAAAUCUACGCAUUUAUGGUCAAGUGAUUUCCAACCAAGGUGCCAAGGCAAUUCAGUGAGGAAAGAUAGCCUUUUUAGGUGGUGGCACAACUGGAUAUCCAUAUGCAAAAAUCCACCCAGACAUCCAUCCAUCCAGACAUACAUAUAUACGUGUAUAUACUUACACCCUUACUUCACGUGAUACACAAAAAUGAAUUAAAAAUGGACCUUAGAUUGAAAUGUAAGAGCUAAAAGUAAGGAGCGAACUAUGUGUACUUGUUAACCACAAGGACGAUCCUCAUGAACAUUAUGUUAAGUGAAAGAAGACGAACGUGAAAGACUAAAUACUUUGUGUUUCCAUUUACAUGAAAUUUCUAGAAAAGGCAAAACAUUAGGGACAGAAAGCAGCUUGGAGGUUUAUUUGGGCUGUAGGGCUGCUAACAGGCAUGGGGGAACUUUGUGAAGUGACAGCAGUGUUCUGAAACUGUGGUGAUGGUUACACAGCCCUAUAAAUUAGCUAAAAAUCAUCAAAUUGUACACUUACAAUGGAUGAACUUUAUAAUAUGUAAAUUAUAACUCAAAGAGACACACUAAUAAAAUUAAACCUGAAGGAUA
This is a long non-coding RNA of Orcinus orca (killer whale), 3407 nucleotides long. RefSeq lists it as uncharacterized. The record is from RefSeq and is a predicted model, not a curated record. Lineage: Eukaryota; Metazoa; Chordata; Mammalia; Artiodactyla; Delphinidae. The transcript has 4 exons.